UUUUGUGAAAAGUAUCGGUGCCGCAUGCGGGUGUGCCGGGUAUUACGGGCGUUACGGGGGUGUCCAAAAAAGUAAAACAAAAAAAACGCUUUGUAAGAUCUAUCAGCACUUAGUCAGCGGACAAGCAAAGGUGUGCGGUUCAGAUAAGUGGGGGAGUUUCGAGAGACUCCCCAAAGGGGUGAUAAAUGGGAUCAUCAGAAACACCCUGACAUUCAGAUCCCUAAAAGCUGCUGAGACGGUAAUCCCAUGUACAUUUACCUCAACAUAUCAUAACUGCGUCUUGGCUUACCGCUUCGCGUUUGGAUUUCGCUGAUGCCUCGCAUUUCUUAUAUAGAUCAAUGAUCGCCAUGCAUCCACGUAAUUAAAUUAACUGACUGUCUUGAUUUCUGCCCACUCAUGGAUAAUGAAAAGUGUAGAAGCGCAAUAAAUUCCUGGAAUCGUCUCGGUUUCAAGAACUUUCCGAUUUGUUAAACUUCGUUUCCAGUUCCCAUGGAACUGGACAUGGCAGAUAGAUGACCGCAAAUUUUCAAUCUUAUCGGUGCGAUUUGGGGCCUCCGAGUUACCCCGACCAAGUGCUCGACAGCAGCAACCCCUGCAGUUGCACAAAGGUGCAUCCUUGCAUCAUCCUUGGCCACUUUCUGGUGGUGGUGGUGGUGCUGCUGGUGGUGUCGGUGGUGCACCUGUCACUGUGGUGGCCCUUCGCGCUCUCGCAGGCUGGUCGAAAAGGAGGAGAGAGAUCCCGAGUCGCCGGAUCAUUGACUGGGAUCGGGUUACCCUACCCUGCCACACAGUUCACAGAAUCGCCAGGACUCCAAAUUUCUGGGUUCCUAAACUGCCGAGUCGUCAGCCUGGCUGCUCUGGCUAAAGGGGUUUAAUCAACUGGAAGGCGGCAGUUAAACUUUCGCCGCCGAACGAUCCUUUUUUUUUCGUCGCCCGCCUUGCAAAUCGAUCACAUUUCAGGGACGUAAUCCGAGAAUCGGAAGUCCGACUGGAAACGAGGCGAUGUAAUGCACCAGUGGACAUGGUCCUGCUCACUCUGCCCAGUCUGUUUCCUCUGUUUCCAACUGGCCAGGAAGCUUUACAACCACCAUAUCACAUGUCACUUGACUUUGGGAUAUGGCAAAAGGAUGCAAAGUUUAUUACCCGAUGAUAGGAAGUUUCUUAUACUGCAUAUAUAUUUCCUAUA
This is a non-coding RNA of Drosophila suzukii, 1186 nucleotides long. Lineage: Eukaryota; Metazoa; Arthropoda; Insecta; Diptera; Drosophilidae. The record is from RefSeq and is a predicted model, not a curated record.